GACGAACGCUGGCGGCGUGCUUAACACAUGCAAGUCGAACGGAAAGGCCCUGCUUUUGUGGGGUGCUCGAGUGGCGAACGGGUGAGUAACACGUGAGUAACCUGCCCUUGACUUUGGGAUAACUUCAGGAAACUGGGGCUAAUACCGGAUAGGAGCUCCUGCUGCAUGGUGGGGGUUGGAAAGUUUCGGCGGUGGGGGAUGGACUCGCGGCUGAUCAGCUUGUUGGUGGGGUAGUGGCUUACCAAGGCUUUGACGGGUAGCCGGCCUGAGAGGGUGACCGGCCACAUUGGGACUGAGAUACGGCCCAGACUCCUACGGGAGGCAGCAGUGGGGAAUAUUGCACAAUGGGCGGAAGCCUGAUGCAGCAACGCCGCGUGCGGGAUGACGGCCUUCGGGUUGUAAACCGCUUUCGCCUGUGACGAAGCGUGAGUGACGGUAAUGGGUAAAGAAGCACCGGCUAACUACGUG
RNAcentral lists this ribosomal RNA (468 nucleotides) under uncultured bacterium. RNAcentral describes it as "partial 16S ribosomal RNA". It matches the Rfam family "Bacterial small subunit ribosomal RNA", at positions 28 to 507 of the family's 1533-position model. The record is from RNAcentral.